RNAcentral lists this non-coding RNA (771 nucleotides) under Papilio xuthus (Asian swallowtail). The record is from RNAcentral. Lineage: Eukaryota; Metazoa; Arthropoda; Insecta; Lepidoptera; Papilionidae.
AUUUUUUAUGAUUUAGGAAGUUUAAUUUAAAUUUAUUUUACAUAUAAAUUUUAGUAUGAAUUUUUAAUUAUUUUAAUAAUUUUUAAAAAUUAAAUUAUAGUAAUUAAUAUUAAAAAUUUAAGAAAUUAAGAUUUAGUAAUAUUUAAAAUUAUUAACAAAUUUUGUGCCAGCAGUUGCGGUUAAACAAAAUAUAAUUUAAAUUUUAUUAGUAAAUAAUAAAUAUUAAUAUAAAUGAAAUUAAAUAUUAAUUUAUUAGGUGAAAUUUUAAUUUAAUUAAAAUUUUAUUUUGUAAUAUGAUUUAUUAAAUUUUAUAAAAAACUAGAAUUAGAUACUCUAUUACUAAAAAUUAAAUAAAUAAUACUAAAAUAGUAUGUAAUUAUUUAUAGAAACUUAAAUAAUUUGGCGGUAUUUUAGUUCAUUUAGAGGAAUCUGUUUAAUAAUUGAUAAUCCACGAAUAAAUUUACUUAAUUUAAAAAUUUUGUAUAUCGUUGUUAAAAAAAUAUUUUUUAAUAAAAAUAAUAUUUAAGAAUUUUUAUAAUAAAUUAAUUCAGAUCAAGAUGCUGAUUAUAAUUAAGAAUAUAAUGGAUUACAAUAAGAAAUGAUUAAAUGAAUAAUAUAUUUUAAUAUAUAUUUGAAGGUGGAUUUAAAUGUAAUUUUAUUUAAUUUAUUAAAAUGAUUAAAAAUUGAAAUAUGUACAUAUUGCCCGUCGCUUUCAUUAAUAAAUUGAAAUAAGUCGUAACAAAGUAGAUGUACUGGAAAGUGUUUCUAGAA